CUUUUGUUAUAAUGUUGGGUCAGAAGCAGGUCCCAGAAGAUAGAUUCUCUCUCUGACCUUCUGCUGCCUUCCUUUCACCUGCUGCUUUUUCUCCCCAAGGCAGGAAUCAUCUCCAGCUUUUCUGUUUUAGAGACUGACCUAAAAAAAUUCUCUGACCUACCUUGUCUGAUUUUAGGUCACAAGGCACUCAUUUGAAAAGAGAUCCUGAGUCAUACCUUGGAGGAAGAAAUGCUAUACGGAAAGUUGUCAGUCAUGUCUAUCCAAUAAAGCCUCCAUAAAAGGCACAAGAGGACAGGGUUUGGGGAGCUUUUGGAUAGAUGAACACAUAGAGACUUACAGGAAGGUGGAAGGUAAACAAAAA
Long non-coding RNA from Homo sapiens (human), 361 nucleotides. RefSeq lists it as uncharacterized. The record is from RefSeq and is a predicted model, not a curated record. Lineage: Eukaryota; Metazoa; Chordata; Mammalia; Primates; Hominidae. The transcript has 2 exons.